This is a long non-coding RNA of Manduca sexta (tobacco hornworm), 482 nucleotides long. RefSeq lists it as uncharacterized. The record is from RefSeq and is a predicted model, not a curated record. NCBI's taxonomy places the organism in Eukaryota, Metazoa, Arthropoda, Insecta, Lepidoptera, Sphingidae. The transcript is spliced from 2 exons.
CGCAGCAUAAUUUAUGAAACAUAAAAAAAUCAAAUAACGUAAUACGCAGUUUAAUUAAAAAUGAUUUUUAAUUAUUAAAUUCUCAAAAUUGAUGUAGUAAAUACAUUCCAACUUAUUUAUACUUGCCAUUUGGCAGCAUGAUCAGUAUUGACAUUAGUCACUUUAGAAAAAAAAACUUCUGCAUCUGCCAAAUUUUCGUCAACAAUUAAAUCGUAGUGAUUAUUUUCUCUUUGUUAACAACAUAAUUCUUAUUUCGUGUCUUACUACAGAAGUUUCUAUUUUGUAAUUAUAUAAAUAUAAUCAAUGGAGUCUGCAAAUAACAAAACCCAAAAAAGGGGUUGAAAUUAUACCUAAAUAGAAAAACAAGAACUGCUGGAUAUAGUGAAAAACUCUCGUGAGGAACACAAGCAGUGAGCUGUGGGCGAGUAGCCGGCUAUGAAGUGAGAGGCCGUGGGUUCUCUUGUGUGAUAUAUAUAAUCAAU